CCAUAGGUAGAGAUGCUUCUGUAAUUACAUGCAACGCACAUCCUGCUCCUGUAAAUUCCAAUUAGCAAAAGCAAAGAGGCAGUUUGAUGGUCAGAAAGCACAUGGGCAGCACCACGCAGGUGGCUGACACUGGGAUUGGAAGCAGCCUGGUGCUGUUAGGAUAACCCAUGGCCUGUGCUCUGCUGAGGGAGCCUAUUUAUAACCUGCUGCAGGACUCUCCUUCAGUAGAGCCUGUUGAUCCCCUGGUACAGCAAGACAGGAACAAUACUGUGAUAGCGUGGGGAAUGUGCCCCUGUCAGGACAAGAAUUUUUCUUUGUUUUAUGAGCAUCAUUUAUGACCCUGACCUUCAAUGCAGGGAAAAGUAUCAAUUUUAUGGUAGUGGUGAAUGCUUUUGGGAAGUAGUAAGAGGCCAAUCAAGGUCUCAGCAGAUGUUUCCACUGUGGUAGAAUAGAAGGGUUGCUACUAGCAGAAUCACUGAUUUUUAUGUGAACCCUUCUCAGCUGCUGAUAAAGAAGGGGAGACAAGGCAAACAUGAGAAAAUUUCAACUAGAUGAUGAAGAAAAAUGAUAGCACUCCAAUGCUGUAAAAGUAAAGAGGCUUUUAACAAUUUCAGAAUGGAAAGAGAAGGGAAUCCUAAAGAGAUGUUAGAGAUGAUCAAUUCAGACUUCUCACCAUUUGCCUGUCAUCCAUCUGUCCUGGUCCCCAGAGCGUGCUGUUUCUUAUUGAUGGAAAUUAUAAGUAAGGAUGCAAUGAGAUGGUGUAGAGACAUGAUGUUACUGAUGUAUAAUGAACACAGAAGAUGA
This 804-nucleotide long non-coding RNA is filed under the name Cyanistes caeruleus (blue tit). RNAcentral describes it as "lncRNA (ENSCCEG00000008940.1)". Lineage: Eukaryota; Metazoa; Chordata; Aves; Passeriformes; Paridae. The record is from RNAcentral.